Parelaphostrongylus tenuis is the source of this 74-nucleotide non-coding RNA. The record is from the annotation of a GenBank genome assembly. Lineage: Eukaryota; Metazoa; Nematoda; Chromadorea; Rhabditida; Metastrongylidae.
GCGUCAGUAGUGCAACUGUUUGUGCACGCGCUCCCGGAUAGAGUGAGAUGUGGGUUCGAGUCCCGCUUGGCGCA